RNAcentral lists this ribosomal RNA (1908 nucleotides) under freshwater metagenome. RNAcentral's name for it is "bacterial LSU rRNA". It matches the Rfam family "Bacterial large subunit ribosomal RNA", at positions 858 to 2776 of the family's 2925-position model. The record is from RNAcentral.
CCCGAAAACUAUUUAGGUAGUGCCUCAUGUAUGGCUCCAGGGGGUAGAGCACUGUCAUCAUUGCGGGGGUCAUUGCGAUUUACCGCGUGAUAGCAAACUCCGAAUACCUGGAAGUCUGAGCGUGGGAGACAGUCCUCGGGUGCUAACGUCCGAGGUCGAGAGAGAAACAACCCAGACCGACCGUAUCGUGACUGGGAAACGAAGUGGGAAGGCAUAGACAGCUAGGAGGUUGGCUUAGAAGCAGCCACCCUUUAAAGAAAGCGUAAUAGCUCACUAGUCGAGUCGUCCUGCGCGGAAGAUGUAACGGGGCUCAAACCACGCGCCGAAGCUGCGGAUACGUGCUUGCACGUAUGGUAGGAGAGCGUUCGGUAAGUCUGUGAAGGUGGCUCGUAAGGGCUGCUGGAGAUAUCCGAAGUGCGAAUGCUGACAUGAGUAGCGAUAAAACGAGUGAAAAGCUCGUUCGCCGAAAGCCCAAGGUUUCCUGCGCAACGUUCAUCGGCGCAGGGUGAGUCGGCCCCUAAGGCGAGGCUGAAAAGCGUAGUCGAUGGGAAAUCGGUCAAUAUUCCGAUACCUUUCUUGAAUGCGAUGGGGGGACGGAGAAGGUUAGGUCAGCCGGGUGUUGGACGUCCCGGUUUAAGCGUGUAGGCGGAUCCCUUAGGCAAAUCCGGGGGGCCAACGCAGAGGCGUGAUGACGAGCAGACAAGUCUGCGAAGUGACUGAUACCAAGCUUCCAGGAAAAGCCUCUAAGCUUCAGUUCAAGAAAGACCGUACCGCAAACCGACACAGGUGGGCAGGGUGAGAAUCCUAAGGCGCUUGAGAGAACUCGGGUGAAGGAACUCGGCAAAAUUGCACCGUAACUUCGGGAGAAGGUGCGCCCCGGUAGGUUGUAGUCCCUCGCGGACGAAGGCCGAUGGGGUUGCAGUGAAAUGGUGGCUGCGACUGUUUAAUAAAAACACAGCACUCUGCAAACACGAAAGUGGACGUAUAGGGUGUGACGCCUGCCCGGUGCCGGAAGGUUAAAUGAUGGGGUGCAAGCUCUUGAUUGAAGCCCCGGUAAACGGCGGCCGUAACUAUAACGGUCCUAAGGUAGCGAAAUUCCUUGUCGGGUAAGUUCCGACCUGCACGAAUGGCGUAACGAUGGCCACACUGUCUCCACCCGAGACUCAGCGAAGUUGAAAUGUUUGUGAAGAUGCAAUCUCCCCGCGGCUAGACGGAAAGACCCCAUGAACCUUUACUGUAGCUUUGCAUUGGACUUUGACGGGACUUGUGUAGGAUAGGUGGGAGGCUUUGAGACCAGGACGCCAGUUCUGGUGGAGCCGUCCUUGAAAUACCACCCUGGUGUCGUUGAGGUUCUAACCUUGGCCCGUGAAUCCGGGCCGGGGACCGUGCAUGGUAGGCAGUUUGACUGGGGCGGUCUCCUCCCAAAAGGUAACGGAGGAGCACGAAGGUGCGCUUAGUGCGGUCGGACAUCGCACUGAAUCUGCAAUGGGAAAAGCGUGCUUGACUGCGAGACUGACAAGUCGAGCAGGUGCGAAAGCAGGUCAUAGUGAUCCGGUGGUUCUGUAUGGAAGGGCCAUCGCUCAACGGAUAAAAGGUACUCUGGGGAUAACAGGCUGAUUCCGCCCAAGAGUUCACAUCGACGGCGGAGUUUGGCACCUCGAUGUCGGCUCAUCACAUCCUGGGGCUGUAGCCGGUCCCAAGGGUAUGGCUGUUCGCCAUUUAAAGUGGUACGUGAGCUGGGUUUAAAACGUCGUGAGACAGUUUGGUCCCUAUCUGCCGUGGGCGCUGGAAGUUUGAGGGGGCCUGCUCCUAGUACGAGAGGACCGGAGUGGACGAACCUCUGGUGUAUCGGUUGUCACGCCAGUGGCAUUGCCGGGUAGCUAAGUUCGGAAGAGAUAAACGCUGAAA